AAAGGGCUGCAGUAUUUUGACUGUACAAAGGUAGCAUAAUCAAUAGUCUCUUAAUUGGUGACUUGUAUGAAAGAUUGGAUGAGAUAUAUACUGUCUCUUAUUUAUAAUAAAAAUUUAAUUUUUUGAUUAAAAAGUCAAAAUAAUUUUAAAAGACGAGAAGACCCUAUAGAGUUUAAUAAAUAUUUUAAUUAAAGUUAUUUUUUAGAAUAAUAAUUAAAAUUAAGGUAUUUAUUUUAUUGGGGUGAUGAAAAAAUAAAAAUAACUUUUUUUAAUUUAAAAUCAUAAAUAAAUGAAUUAUUGAUCCAAAAAUUUUGAUUAUAAGAAAAAAUUACCUUAGGGAUAACAGCGUAAUUUUUUUUUUUAGUUCAAAUAAAAAAAAGAGUUUGCGACCUCGAUGUUGGAUUAAGAUAAAAUUUAUAUGCAAAAGUAUAAAA
RNAcentral lists this ribosomal RNA (434 nucleotides) under Pseudopagyda homoculorum. RNAcentral describes it as "partial 16S ribosomal RNA". The record is from RNAcentral. Lineage: Eukaryota; Metazoa; Arthropoda; Insecta; Lepidoptera; Crambidae.